CGUCCGAAACGAAAGCUGUGAGCACCGCAAUCGAUGAAUCGCUCCUGCAGUUGUCCAGUAAUAAUCUAAAAGGACAAGCACUUCUUCACAGCGAUGAUCACACAUCAACAGUGAACACUGGGCCUAUAGAUGGCACCACUUCGUUCACUACGGCGGUUGCUUAAUGCUAGUGGCUUUGAUGCACUCCUGUGCGGGAAAGAGUGGCGGUUGCCAGGUUUUCAUGCGGCGAGCGCCAUGGUGAGCGCACGGCUGCUUAAAAAUGACCCGCGGUUUGGAAUCGACUCUUGGUGGAGCUGGAUCACAGCCUUCUUCUGUGCUUGGGUGUUGUUCCUGGCCAUGGCGACACCCCGUAUGGCUGGAAUUUUCUUUUACGGAAUCGUCGAAACAUUCGGGGCAACCAGAAAUGAAGCUUCGUGGCCGGUGUCCCUGGCGGGUACCUUCACUGUAUUAGGAGGUCCGAUAGCUGGCUACCUCUGCCAGCGUUUUUCGUGUCGGGCAGUGCUGUUGGUCUGCUCACCCUUGGCUGGAGUUGGAGUCUGUCUAUGUUACCUGGCGAGAGAUCUCCUAUUUAUCACCAUUUUCUUGGGAAUCAUUCACGGUACUGCGUUGUGCGGCUUGUACGUGGCUUCGAAUAUCCUGCUCGCCCAGCAUUUCGAGAAGCGAAGAGCGACGGCCAUUAGCCUAGUGUUUACAGCGUUCGGCUUCAGCUCUGUCGUUCUUACGCCACUCAUAGAGUUCUUGCGAAAGACGUAUGGAAUCCGUGGGGCGUUUCUCAUUUAUGGUGCGAUUCUCCUAAACACGAUACCAGCCGUUAUUGUUCUCAGAAGCCCGCCGUGGCUGACGAAGUCGGAAAUUGCAAAGAAAGUGAUGCCCAAUGAAGAGGAUCAAAAAAAAGCGACAUGUCUUUUGAUUCAACCUGCCAAUGAAGACGUCAGCAUACCAAAAGCGAUAGAAAAUCAUGACGCUUACUCAAGCAAACGCUUAAAUUUUCAGCAGGAGCAGGAAAACAUGUCGCAUACAGGGCUGUUUACACGGAAAAGUUCUCUUAAGCUGAUGGAGGCAAAGGAGGCUCUCCUAAAUUUUAGUCUCCCCGCGGCGACAAGGCAAAUCUUCACGUUGUCUUUCCUUGUCCACGCACUGUCUUUCGCAGCCGUAAUUAUCCCCGCGAGCGUGUUCCUUAUAAUAAUGGGAGACAUUACCGAUGACCACGGCCUUAAUCCUUCAAAUGCCGUGUAUUUUCUCCAGGCUUUAUCGGCAGCGGAUAUCGCGUUGAGAUCAGUUGUGGGCAUUACUGUCGAUUCGCAGACUUUAUCCCAUGAAUCCGUCAUGGUUAUCGGAUACUUAGUGCAGGGACUUACUUAUGAGUGGCUUAUCUGGGCGAAUACAGUACCACAAAUGAUUGCCGUUUCUGUCCUCAUGGGUGCCACGUACGGAUCAAGAACGUGUCUGCAGGCUCCUGUUUUGGUGAAGGACUUCGGCAUCGGCAAUUUGCCUGUGAUUAUGGGUGGUGUGUUCUUCUGCAUAGGCGUAUCUCUUCUCCUCCGUCCAUCACUGAUCGGAUACUUCAGAGACACUUAUGGCGACUACAACGGGCUGCUCCAUUUGAUGGCUGCACUCAAUGCAUUGUUCAUGUGCAUUUGGGUGGUGAAGCUCGUUACUCAGAGGAAAACCGGGCGACUAUGACAUCUCAGAGUGCGCACCAUGUGGAUGUAUCACACUGUUCUACCAAUAAAAAU
RNAcentral lists this long non-coding RNA (1736 nucleotides) under Dermacentor andersoni. RNAcentral describes it as "uncharacterized LOC126526389". Lineage: Eukaryota; Metazoa; Arthropoda; Arachnida; Ixodida; Ixodidae. The record is from RNAcentral.